GUGCCAUGGCAGUAUAUAGAAAAAUUGCAUUCCUGCUUACACCACCAGAUCUGUUGUACAAACAUCGUAUGCUAGCAAGCUUUUUAGGCUUCAGCCUCGUCACAAAAAAAAAAUAUGGCGAAAGAAGGCGGAUAUGGAUAUAUGUUGUUACUGGAACAUCCUGAGGAAGUUGUUCGCGUAGGCCAUCGGCUUGACGUCAGGGUGUGGCUGCAAGAUGAAAUCAAGGAAAUAUUUGGUUUUAGUUCUGGAGCUGUGAACCGAAUGUAUGCACCCUUGUUACCCAUCUGUAUCAAAAUCGCAAUUCACAAGAUAACACCGUUAUAAGCUUUCCAUCAUGUUCAAUUUCAUAGCCUUCAUCUUUCACUUCAUGGGAUCGAACAACAAGGUC
This 388-nucleotide small RNA is filed under the name Oryza sativa Japonica Group (Japanese rice). RNAcentral describes it as "sRNA Os05g0204950". Lineage: Eukaryota; Viridiplantae; Streptophyta; Magnoliopsida; Poales; Poaceae. The record is from RNAcentral.